Molecule: long non-coding RNA, 1316 nt
Organism: Pyrus x bretschneideri (Chinese white pear)
Lineage: Eukaryota; Viridiplantae; Streptophyta; Magnoliopsida; Rosales; Rosaceae
Exons: 6
Source: RefSeq, a predicted model, not a curated record
GUUGUGGAUCUAGUUCGAGAUGUGUACAAAAGGUGCAGAAAUGAAUGCAAAAUGGGACAUCUAUGAAAGACCUUUCCCCCUCGAUUGAACGGCUUCAGGGGCAUCUUCCCGACACUCUCUGUAAUUUGGCACACCUUGUGGUUCUCCAUCUCGGUGGGUGCACAAAUCUUUCUCUAUCUCCGUUUAUGUCCGAGAAACUAAUCUCUGUGUGUUACUAUGUCAGAGAAAAUGGGCAUACUGACAUUUUGACACGUGUACUACACUCCAAAAAUGAAUAAUCUUCAGGGGUUUUGGGUACACUCUGGCUGUGCCGAUAAACACAUGGAUAUGAAGCUCUGUUUUGAAGAAAUCAAUCGGUCACUACGCCGCAUGCGGCGGCUUUGAUGGAACUAAUGUGGUGCGGUCAGACGGCUAGCCACCGCUGGAUUCUUUGAAAUCCCAUCUCGAAAAGUUGGUAUUUUCCAAGGAGAGAAACUGUGAAGAUAUUGCUUUGUCUUUUCCCGUUGUCCUAAUGCCACUGGUGCUCCUCCAAUUUGGGUGGAAGGGAAGAUGUAUGGGAUUGGAUCGUCUGCAAUUAGCAGUCUAAAAGGGCACAACAAGAGGAGGAAUAAAUAAGAGCCUCAACGAUUUCAUCUCCCUCUUCGAAAGAAUGUCUCUUGUACCAACUAAUGCUAAAGCUAAAGACGCUAGAAUUGAAUGGUUCUGGUAGUUUCAGAAACUGUGAAGAUAGUGUUAUGUCAUUUCUCGUAGCUAGUGCCACCGGUGCUCCUCCAAUUUGGGUGAAAGGGAAGAUGUAUGAGAUUGGAGCAUCGGGAAUUAGCAGUCUAAAAGGCCACAACAAGAGGAGGAAUAAAUAGGAGCCUCAAUGAUUUCAUCUCCCUCUUCGGAAGAAUGUCCCUUGUACCAACUAAUGCUAAAGCUGUAGACACUGGAAUUGAAUGCUUCUGGUAGUUUCAGGUGGUGGCGGUGAGUGGUUCUGCAUAUUAGACAGCUCGGGAAGAAACGUGUUGAAGUACAUGUAACUGAGAAGCCAGAAAUUGGAAUUCGGUUGGUGGAUGCGGGGAUGCUUAUCCCUCAUGCGAAUAGCGACAUGCAUACUUUUAACAUAAAAUUGAGAGAAAAAGCCGGGAAUUGGAAUUGGCUUUUGGUACUGAGACAAAAAGCCGAGAGGUGCUCCGCAGAAAUGGUGGUAAUGUUCCUUCAGCUGCAAACAAACGCAAAGUGUCGUGCCAAAGCUCGUGGUUAAUAUAUGAAAUAUAAUGUUGAUAUAACAUCGAUAUUUGGUGACAUUACGUUAAUAUAAAGUUGUGUAUAUA